UGUUAUGUGCCAUUUCCCCUGUGUCUGGGUCCAAAUUUCCCUCUUCUUAUAAGGACACCAGUCACUGGUUUAGGACCUACCUUAAUCCAGUACGACUUCCAUCUUAACAUGGUUAUAUUUACAAAGACCCUAUUUCCAAGUAAGGUCACAUUCACAGGUACCAGGGGUUAGGACCCCAAAUCUAUUUGGGGUACACAAUUCAACCCACAACAUCAUCCUUUGAAACCCAGCUCAGUUUGCCACAUUCUCCAGGAAGUCUCCAUCACCUACCUAUGGCAUGAAUGUCUGAUGCUCCCAAUCUCUGCUGUAGCUGCAUCACCUUUGUCCCUGCGGUUGAGAUACUUGUGAACUUACUAAUUUAGAGCUUGUGAGGGACAGGACUGGAACUCAAACCUUGUCUGUAUGGUCCAAAGCCCUUGGUCAGUACCUGUGUUACUCAUCAGAAAACAAUCUAUAAGCUGGGCACAGUGGCUCAUCCCUGUAAUUCCAGCACUUUGGGAGGCUGAGAUGGGAAGAUCGUUUGAGGCCAGGAAUUCGAGACCAGCCUGAUCAACACAGCAAAACACUGUCUCUACACAACUUUUUUUUAUAAAAAAUUAGCUGAGUGUGGGGGUAGCCAUAUAGUCUCAGCUACUGGGGAGGCUGAGGUUGGGAGAUUACUUGAGCCAAGGAGUUUAAGGCUGCAGUGAGCUAUGAUCAUGCCACUGCCCUCCAGCCUGGGUGACUGAAUGAGACUCUGUCUCAAAAAAAAGAAAGAAUGAACGAAAGAAAAGAAAGAAAGAGAGAGAGAAGGAAGGAAGGAAGAAAGAAAGGAAGGAAGGAAAAGAAAGGAAGAAAGGAAGGAAAGAAAGAAAGAAAGAGAAAGAAAGACAAUAAUCUAUAAAUAUUUCCCUGUUUAAAUUGAACUGAUAAGGAGAAACAAGAUAAGGUGAGGGAGAGAUUAGCUGUAUGGUACAUUCUGAAAUGAUUUGCAAGCCAUUAGAAUAAAAUGAAAGCUGCCCUAGUAAGAACUAAAAUACAGCUUAUCUGCUUUAGUUCCUCACUUACAAUAGUUGGAGUUUUGGUCUCUCGCAUCCUUUAGAUGGGACAGCUUUGAAAUGCUCUAAAGGGCUAAGAAGAGUCUUGGAGACCCAAGAAUGGCCCUGUCCAUUGGCCGCUCUGGCCUCAAGGGUCAGGGGUGGUGGAACAAUCCCCAUUCCCUCUGCUCUGGUGACAACCCCAGUCCCACUCUCUGACUGCCCUGUUGGAAACUCAAAACUAAAUACACAAACGGAAGAAAUUCUGUGUCAGGACUGCCAUGGGGUAGUCUGGGUCCCCAUCGAGCUUCAUGAAAAAGUUGUUGGCCAGGAAACAGGGUCGCUGGCCCAGAGCCUGCGCUUGCUCCAUCCAUGAUCUAAGCAUUUAACAGAAGGAGCUACUGCUGUCUGCCUGGAGACAAGCGAGUUAAGAAUAACUUUGCAGAGGCUGAGCUUUACAGGCCUAGCCAUCCUGAAAUAGCUGAGACAUGAUCAUCCAUUACCUUGAUGCCUGUCUUUCAGGGAGACAGUUCCAGAGACUGGCCCAGGAAAACAAAUUAUAUAUUCCUCCUCAUUAAAAUGUCUCAGCAAGACCCUUAAAUCAGGCUUUGAGGUCCAGGUUCCAACUACUUCUCAGUUAGAAUUUCUCCUGGGCGUUUUGGUGGUUCUUGCCAAAUUGGGUAGUUCCCAAUGUGGGGACUGUUUCUAAAUCAGGGUCUGAGAGCAACCAGCCUCCUUAGGAAAACGACGAAAGAAAUUCAAAUGGAAAAGAAGUAUUAAUUAGCCCUUAUAUAGCACUUCAUGGCUUUCUCAGGUGCAAUUUUAAGUGCUUUACAUAGAUAGGUAUUGAGAUAGACUAUAUUAUUGUCCCAUAUGUUCUCUGUACCUCUUUGUGGGAGGAUUACACCUCCCUACCAUGUUGACAUCAAGCUUAGCCAUGUAACUGUUUUGCCAAGGAAAUGUAGACAGAAGACACAUACAUCAUUUUCAAGAAGAAGCCUAAAGAGCCGUUUCAUGGAUCCACCAUCAACCAUACUUCCUGCUGCCCUAACACCAGCAAUGAUGUAGAUAAGGGCUCCUCCUUCAGUCUGGUUCCAGAGGGAAAGGCUAAAGCCAGCCUGCAAUGGACAUGUGAUAUAAGCAAGAAAUACAUCUUUGUUCCUGUGCACAGGGCCCACAGGAAAGUCCACUCAUCUGUGACCUGCCACUCAAUGCAAGUGCAGCAUGUUCUGGGCAGCUGCUCUGAGCUGCUUCACUUUUAUUUCCCAGGCCUAGCAGGCUCCAGGGUGAGGCCUCCCAGGGCACACAGGCCAGGCUCUCUAAGCCCUUGAAGCUUGGGACCUCAUCUGAAAUGGAGA
Molecule: long non-coding RNA, 2374 nt
Filed under: Homo sapiens (human)
Lineage: Eukaryota; Metazoa; Chordata; Mammalia; Primates; Hominidae
Description: HSALNT0236943
Source: RNAcentral